AGUGAACGCUGGCGGUAGGCCUAACACAUGCAAGUCGAACGGCAGCACAGUAAGAGCUUGCUCUUACGGGUGGCGAGUGGCGGACGGGUGAGGAAUACAUCGGAAUCUACUUUUUCGUGGGGGAUAACGUAGGGAAACUUACGCUAAUACCGCAUACGACCUACGGGUGAAAGCAGGGGAUCUUCGGACCUUGCGCGGUUGGAUGAGCCGAUGUCGGAUUAGCUAGUUGGCGGGGUAAAGGCCCACCAAGGCGACGAUCCGUAGCUGGUCUGAGAGGAUGAUCAGCCACACUGGAACUGAGACACGGUCCAGACUCCUACGGGAGGCAGCAGUGGGGAAUAUUGGACAAUGGGCGCAAGCCUGAUCCAGCCAUACCGCGUGGGUGAAGAAGGCCUUCGGGUUGUAAAGCCCUUUUGUUGGGAAAGAAAAGCAGCAGGUUAAUACCCCGCUGUUCUGACGGUACCCAAAGAAUAAGCACCGGCUAACUUCGUG
Molecule: ribosomal RNA, 492 nt
Filed under: uncultured bacterium
Lineage: Bacteria
Description: partial 16S ribosomal RNA
Rfam family: Bacterial small subunit ribosomal RNA
Source: RNAcentral